Molecule: ribosomal RNA, 514 nt
Filed under: Stefania riae
Lineage: Eukaryota; Metazoa; Chordata; Amphibia; Anura; Hemiphractidae
Description: partial 16S ribosomal RNA
Rfam family: Bacterial large subunit ribosomal RNA
Source: RNAcentral
CGCGGUAUCCUGACCGUGCAAAGGUAGCGUAAUCACUUGUCUUUUAAAUGGAGACCAGUAUGAAUGGCACCACGAGGGUUUUACUGUCUCCUCCCCCCAAUCAAUGAAACUAAUCUUCCCGUGCAGAAGCGGGAAUACACAUAUAAGACGAGAAGACCCUAUGGAGCUUUAAACAAAACAACUAUCUGCUUUUAAAACUAAAGCCCCCCAGGGGGUUUAACCGCAAUUGUAGCAUACUAGUUGUAAGUUUUCGGUUGGGGCGACUGCGGAGCAGAAAAAAACCUCCGUGUUGAACGGCGAGAGCCUAAACAAAAAGCCACGACUUUAAGUAUCAGUAUACUGACAUUAAUUGAUCCAAUACUUUGAUCAACGAACCAAGUUACCCUAGGGAUAACAGCGCAAUCCACUUCGAGAGUUCAUAUCGAAAAGUGGGCUUACGACCUCGAUGUUGGAUCAGGGUAUCCCGGUGGUGCAGCCGCUACUAAAGGUUCGUUUGUUCAACGAUUAAAACCCU